Long non-coding RNA from Alligator mississippiensis (American alligator), 2529 nucleotides. RefSeq lists it as uncharacterized. The transcript is spliced from 2 exons. NCBI's taxonomy places the organism in Eukaryota, Metazoa, Chordata, Crocodylia, Alligatoridae. The record is from RefSeq and is a predicted model, not a curated record.
GUGAGGGGGGUAAAGUGGAGCCCCAAGUAAGGGGAGUAAGCCCAGGUGAGUCUCCAGAUGCCUGAGACUGAGAUUUGGGCCAUGGGCGGAGUGAACGGGGCUCAGUUCCAGAGUGAGAGAGGCAGGUCCUGACCCUGGUAAGUCCUCCAUUGCUGGGAGGCAGAGUGUGGGUCAAAUGUAACAUCCAUAGUAGCACCACGACCUGCUGCCCCGGGGGGGAGUGAGAGUCCCCUGUGAGACCCUGGGGCACCAGUCAUGGUGUGAGGUACCCCAGCUCCCCACAUCCAGGAAAGGGGACCUGGAGAGAGUGUGGGGCUAGUGAGGCUGGAGGUAGAGUGCCCCCUCGACUGGCCCAUGCUGGGGCCAGGACCAAGAAGGUUAAAAGGGCUAGGCACCCACCGCGAGGGGCACCCAGGUUCAUGGGCCUGGGACCCCGCCUGGCCUUUGAGGUGAGGCCAGGGCCUGUGUAUGGCCGAAGGUCCUGAGUGGGGACCAUGCUCAAGAGGGGAGCCAGCUACAAGGAGCUUGGCAGCCCAGAUGAAGGCGGCGUAGGCCACCGGAACAGAGGGAUUAACGGAGGGUCCUGCCAGGAGAAUUCUGGAGCCUAGUGUGAGGCUGGGGUGACUGUUAACAUCUGAAUGCCAUCUGCGAGGUUUGGGCUGUGGUGUAGGGGAGGAAUGGAGCUGCAGAUAGCGCCCCCUGGCAUCGAGGCAAAAAAAUGGGCAUCCUCCCACCCUAUUUAACAGCUUAUUAAUUUUCCAGCAAGUCAUGGCGGGUGAGACAGGCGGGCAGAGUGCCCGGAGGCAGGUGGGAGGCCAGCAAUGGCUGGCCUGAGAAAAGCCCACUUUGCCACAGAGAGGAUGGGGAAUACAGGACCCCCAGCCCCAGCUGAAAGUCGGUAUAGAGGGUGGUGGAAUGAGGGAGGCAGGCUAAGCGCUAAAGAAACAAGAAGCUGGGACACAAGGGAAGUGGUGUGUUUUAGGUGUGGAGAGAGGGGGCACAUAGCGAGGUACUGUAACAAAGAAGGAGGGAAUGAAGGGACCUACGAGUUUCCUCACAAAGAGCAGAUGGACUGCAGUUUCAGGAGGCACAAAGGGCCACAGCUCAAGGCUAAGCCUAUUGUGGAAGUGAAAAUAGGGGGUCUUAGUAGUGCUCGCUAUUGUUGAUAUGGGAUGCACCCAAACAAUGUUAAGGGCAGAUUUAGUGACACCAGUGAUGGGAGAAUUGAUGACCCCAGUAAAUAUGGUCUGUAUUUAUGGAGCCUCAUACACCUGUCAGAGGAAGAGAUUGAGGAUAAUGAUAUUAAACCAAACAGAAGAAAUCACAGCGGGCCUGGACGAGUCGCUUCCUUGUCCUAUGCUGUUGGGAACUGACUGGCCUCAUUUAAAAGAGGUUUAAAAGAGGUCACAAAAGCAAUGGGGGAACUUAGCACCCAAGAUUAUGUGAGGCAGGUUGAAGGAGUCUUGGCUGGGGCCAAGGUUUCAGCACUAGAAAUGGAUGGGGCCGAAGACAUAGGAAUAGAUUUGGAGGAGAUAAUAGGAGGAGGACACUUCAGAGAAUACCAAGAGCAGAAGCUGUUGUUUCAGAACAUCUAUGAAGAAAACCUAGGGAGGAAGAUGUACUUAGACCUGAGUUGGCAGAGGUGCUACCCCAGUUUGAGAAUAUCGAGCAGGAAUGAAGAACGUCAGAGCAGAUUUUUUGUCCUAAUAUACAACUAAUGAUGAUGAGGUACAGAAAAGAUCAGGAAGUGGGCAAAGAGAACAUGAAGAGAUGCUGCUGAUGGGAAGAUCAACAAGGGCACUCCGACUAAAGAGAGAGGUGUGUAACAGGGAGCCAGUGGCCCUGUGACAGAGCUGCCCGAGACGGUUUAAUUGCCCAUUAAGAACACGCAGCUUGGUGCUGUAGCUGAGUAGCAGACUUGUUGAUUGCUAAUUAAGGACUUCCGGACCGGCGGUGGGGCCAGCCAGGAGGGCAUUAAUUGCCACUUAAAGACCUUGUAUAAAGGAAUCAGAAACUGAAUGAACUGCAGCUGAGAACAAGCUGAAGCAACAAGCAGUUAUCCUCCGCGGAGGUGCAGGUUGGGGAAAGAAGAUAAAUUUUCCCUCCAAGACGACGGACGGUGGUGCCUGUGGAACGCCAGGAGCAAAGUCAGCAUGGUGAUCUCCAGGACAGGUACCCGAUGUCAAAAUAAGAGACUUUGAAUGCCAUGAGAAAGGGGCUGGAUGCUUAUGCAAUGGCCCGGGCAACUGUAUCUCCUUUGAGAGCUCGCCUCAUCCCUGGGAGGGGUGAGGGAAGAGGGAAGAUUACUAACAGCCAUACGCAGCAGUGAGACAGUGAGCAGCUGUUCCUUUCCUUUUUUCGGUGGAGGGCAGGAUGAGUUGUAGUUUGGGGCUUUCCAAACCCUAACAAAGUGUAACAGAUUGUGCCAAUGCAUUGUACCAGCAGGGGCCUGAACCCAUGACAGCUGCAAGAGACAGCAGCAGUGCAGGGAGCAGCAUGUUGUAGUCAUCAUUAAAAACUGGAAGCUUU